AAAUUGAAGAGUUUGAUCAUGGCUCAGAUUGAACGCUGGCGGCAGGCCUAACACAUGCAAGUCGAACGGUAGCACAGAGAGCUUGCUCUCGGGUGACGAGUGGCGGACGGGUGAGUAAUGUCUGGGAAACUGCCCGAUGGAGGGGGAUAACUACUGGAAACGGUAGCUAAUACCGCAUAACGUCGCAAGACCAAAGUGGGGGACCUUCGGGCCUCACACCAUCGGAUGUGCCCAGAUGGGAUUAGCUAGUAGGUGGGGUAACGGCUCACCUAGGCGACGAUCCCUAGCUGGU
RNAcentral lists this ribosomal RNA (292 nucleotides) under Salmonella enterica subsp. enterica serovar Kentucky. Its description in RNAcentral is "partial 16S ribosomal RNA". It matches the Rfam family "Bacterial small subunit ribosomal RNA", at positions 1 to 291 of the family's 1533-position model. The record is from RNAcentral. Lineage: Bacteria; Pseudomonadati; Pseudomonadota; Gammaproteobacteria; Enterobacterales; Enterobacteriaceae.